Lutra lutra (Eurasian river otter) is the source of this 6708-nucleotide long non-coding RNA. RefSeq lists it as uncharacterized. The transcript is spliced from 3 exons. NCBI's taxonomy places the organism in Eukaryota, Metazoa, Chordata, Mammalia, Carnivora, Mustelidae. The record is from RefSeq and is a predicted model, not a curated record.
UCAUUGUGGGGGACUGCAAGCUGCAAAGCAAGGGAAUGGAAAAUGGUGAGCAAGUGUCUCACGGGCCAGGAAGCCUUGAGGCCUGCCUGACCGUUCCUCCUGAGGCAACCGUCUCUCCGGUCUUCUUCCGGCAUCAGCCCUGAAGAGGGACAACCAACAGACAUUAAGGAACAAGGCACGGACCUCUUUUAACAGGUGGGGAAGAGAAGAACAGGGAGCUCAACGAUUUGCUGAAGAUCACAUGACCCUCCCCCCACACCGAGGAGCCCCAGGCUUCAGGAAAUGCCAGCGUACCGCCCCAGAAUGCCUGGCAGGUCAUGUGUUUUGAAUCACCUGCUAAAAGAUUCUAAAGGCUGUAUUUUAUCUUCUAGGAUUCCUGGGAGAUAAAAGGUCAAAAGUAAAAAGCAAAAGUGUGCAGAAGUUGUGGGAAAAUUUAUGAAAAUUGAUUUUAGUUCCCUCCUCCCUACUUCCGAGGCCACAUGGACCUGCUCCCUCCCUGCCUGAAUGGAAGGGAGGGGCCCCUAGAUCCUGCCCCAGCCUGUCCUCCAAAUAAGUAGUUGGCCCAACCGCCCGGUGUCCAGCCUGGGCUUCUCGUGCACUUAAAGGGAGGCAGAGAUUGCAGAACGACUGCAUUCUGAGAAUGGAGUCAGGGUUGACUUUUUCCACCUCCAGCAUCGGCCAGAGGGCAGUUUCCUUCCCUGCUUUGCACUUAUUUCCUGCGUGUGCUUAUGAAAUUGAUGUUUUAACGUGUCUGAUCAUAAUUUCUCCAUGUGUGAGAAAGGAAUUUUGAGACCCAUCCCUAAGACUGCUGUAAAUAGUAAACAAGCCACCCCCACCCCCGAAAAAUAUGAUGGGCUUUUAAGCACAGUGCUUGGCCCAUUAUAAACCCCGUGGAAAUGAUGUUUUUUCUUAUUUUUCCUUAAUGCUUAUUCCCAUCUCCUUUAUUUUUGUUAUUUUGGCUUCUUUUCUUUCUUCACAUUUUCUCCUUUUCGCCUAUAUAGAACAGCAUUUUUUUUUUUUUAAGAAAUAUUCUUUAUUUUUGUUACAUUUGAUUUCUUGAAAACCCAAUUAAUUUCCUAAGUGGUCAUAUUUCUAAUACUAGCCAAAUUUCAUGAGCUGGGUAUGGGGGAAGGGUUCUUUCAGACCCCAAGAAAAAUUCCGUCAGAGUACUUUUUAUUGCUCAUUAAAAAAAUCAAAUUUUAAGCACAAUUCUUCAUAAAUACACAAGUACACAUAUAUGUCAACAAAUCGAUGCAUAUUUAUCUCUCAGAUAUGGCCAGUGCAGCGUUCCUGAGCUGUUUCCUAGCUGUUUCCUUGGUAGGGCCCUUUCUGCAGUGGGAAUCCACAUUUUUUUAGCUCAAGUCCUAAGGCUUUGUAACCACUGAACAUGCUGUUAAAAAAUCAAAUGACUUUUUAUAACCAGGGUUAAACACACAAAUAUCAUUCAUGUGUCCCUUCUUAUAAGCACAUGGCUAACAAUUUUGAACAGUCCACAGUCAAGCCUCCCUCAUUUGUUAGUAAUUUUAAAGGGUUUAUAGUACCUAGCAGCUGAUUUUAAAAAGCUGCCUUAUCUGCACUCAAAGCCUUACCAGCUCAAAGCCGAGUUCUUUAUGGUAAAACUAUCUGUCUCAGGCAUUGUUUAUAUAAAACUAGGUUAAUUAAAAAAAAAUCUUGGACAAUUAAGACAGAAAACUAUUCGGUGAUUUCAGUUGGUUUCUCCAAUACAUUAAGCAUGGCAAGCAAACAAGACUCCAGAUUUCCGAGUAAGCACUCCAUGGAUGUGUGUUUCAUCAGCAUCUUUGAAAUCUUUUCAUCAAACCGAGUCGUUAAGAAAAAGUGUGGGAUGUUAUGUUAGCCAUGGAUGCUGAACACAUACAGGACGACUCACCUCCUGUACCUAUUCACCUAGGAAUUAAAGUUUCCUAUUAAAAAGAUAUCUUACGAAUUCCCUUUUUACUUAAUACACAUUGAUUUUUGUUACUGUUAAUGCAUUUACAGAAACCGUGGAAGUGAAUGUGGGUUUCCACAGAACGACUGCUAAACCCCUCUAAGCCUUAAAUGGUUUUUUUAAAAAGUGCCCUUAUUAACGGCCCCCCCAGUUCAGCAGAUUGUGGACGUACUGGUAUACAAAUACACAUUUGUGUUGAGAGGAAGCCGGUAUUUCUUAGGACAAUUCCCUUUGCCACACACACAGAUGGAAGCGAAGUGGGAGGUAGCAAGCACUGAAGCAGCCGCUGGAAUGAGCACGCUUACUCGCUCCGCAUAAAUACAGGCCCCACUGUAUUUAACUCGCGGGGGAGUCUAACAAUGGAUGAAACCACGGACCAAAAUCCCAAGCCAGAGUGCAGUGUGCAGAGGGGUAAAUGCGCUGCAGUGUUCUACAACAGAAAGAUAGGCUGUGUGGUAACUUAGCAUUUAGAGCCCUUCUAGGGAAGGCUGGAGGGAGGGUGGACGUCACAUUAGUCUCCAUGCUGUUGCAUCUGCCCUUCCCAGUCAGUACGAUAAAAUUUCUGUGAAAUUUAGCACCACGCAAGCCUACAGCAGUCUGAUGAGAUCUGACUAUUUUUGGUUAAGAAAGAAAGAACCUAUUUUAUUACAAAAUCCCAUCUAAGGGACCCAUCAUCUACCCGUGAAGCUGCAGAUCUCUCUGCCAAAGUUCUCUUCCUAGGAUCUUUAAAUGAGUGGUUAACUUUUAUAGCAUGUUUGUUAGAACACCACUUAAAAAAAAAAAAUCCAUUACCACCCAGUUAAGGAAAGAAAGGUAAGACAUAAAAUCAAAAGUAAAUAGUAAAAAGAUGGGUCUCUAUCAAUCUCAGUAAGCCAGAAACCAUCGAAGGAAAUAAUUUAUUUUAAAUACUAUUCCUUAGGAAAAAAAAAUGUUCUUCAUGUUAAAAUUUAGCAUUAUAGGAAGCACAACAAAAUUCUGGAGUUCUAUCUAUGGAGGGAAAAAGAAGAAUCACUGCUAAAAAAAGAGUUAAUUUACUAAGGCCUAUGAUGACCUUGUUCACAUUUGUAUGAAAGCCUCAUCAUCCAUUCUUCUUGAGAAAUCUCUUAAGUGUUAUUUUUUUUUUCCUGUUACUUGGACCUAUCUAUUCCUCUGCGCAAAAGAUGGAAAAAGUGCUAAAAACAUUGGCUGAUGGACAAUAAUGGAAAAUAAACUUUGUAAACUUCUAUUACCACACUUUUUCCAUAACAGAAAAGAACAGGAAAAUGACAGGGGGACGACAAAGCGUGUGCUUGCUACUCAAGCUGCUCUGUCCUAUUAGCUGACUAAACCCAAUACCCUUUCCCCUCCUGAUACUAUUAACUAUAGGUUUUCUAGUAAAUUCCUAGCAACCACUGCAUCUAAGCAGUUUUGACAAAAAAGAAAGCUUAUUGCUAAACACCUUAAAAACAUUUACCAAGGUAAUAAAAGAAAUGUCAUUCCCUCCUACUGAAUGUUUAGGCAUAAAAGAGGUAUUUUUAUAGUGUAGUUCAUGAUUUACCAUAUCUAUAGUGUCCAAAAAAAGCACAAUGAAAAGGAAGCAUUUUUCCAGUGGUUUGACAACUAUUUGAAUCAACUGUUAGGGUUUCAUUACUCUAGUGGCCAACUGCUCACUUUGAAAAGAGCAGGAGGGUGAGGGACUGGGAUCAGAAACGGGGAAGGGCGAACCUUCUUUUCCCAAUAUAUUUUCUAUAUAUACUUGUCUGUGCAAAUAUAGUGAAAUGGAUUAUUUUUCCUGUCCAUCAAUCUGUUGCCAGCUUGGAGGCUGCACUGUGAAUGCUUCACACGAUUCAGCUUUCCCUUAACCUUCAACUUCCCCAUGUGAGACACUGAUUCCCCCAAAUGCGGAUGGAGCGUCUUUUCUGUGCCGGGCCAGGUCAUCCUGGUCAAGCAGACAUCCCGUAAGCAUCUACCUUGCAAAUGUUUCUGUGGACGUGGAAGUCUAAACAUUACAAAAACCUUACCGAGGAAUGUGAUUAACCCAAGGAGGGCUGCCAAACUAAAAAAACAAAACAAAACAAAAAACCCAAAACCAGUUUUUUUCUAAGUCAGAAGGGUGGCUGGUUUUUAGGCGGCUAGAAGAUGUUCACUUUUUACCUCUGGGUCCUUAAUACUAAGACAUCUUAAUACUAAGACAUAUUUCAUCUAAAUGUUGAGAAACUCUAGCGUGGCUGCGAGAAGGAAGAUCUCAAGGAAUGGACCACUGAUGAGUUUUAUCUGCCAUCCUAAAAAGUGAGUGCAAAAUUUCUUCAACAAGGUUAAGCUCUGAUAUUUCCUAAAUGAUAAAUAAUUCAUGUUUUAAAAUGUAGAAGAUGUUCUGAUAGCUGACAUUCUCCAAAAUGCAUGCAAAACUUCUUUGAAAUUAGAAUAGGAUGAUUCAUUCACUUUCUCACUUUGCAAGUCCAACCAAUAUAGCAUAUAAAUAUUUACACGUCAGCACGCAUAAGCAGACAAGCAAUUCCGUAGCACACACACUCCUGUAACCAACAAACAGCCCCCCGUUUCCGUACAGGCCGGUGUUAAUCCGGCCUCACAGAUCACUGGAGCAGUUUCAUGCUCGGCUGGUCUAAGCUGUGAUUUGAGGCUACUGUUCUAAGCAGUAAUUUUUCAAGAUAAAAUUCAGCAGUUUUGAAAUUCUAAAACUAAACACAAUUUUGUCAGCCAUAAAAAAAAAUUUAACACUAUAAUUAAUGACUGCUUCAAAAUCCCAAAUUGCUAUUGAAGAUGACAGUUUGAAAUCACAGAAGAAUCCUAAAGAUGAUUAAUUAUACAAACUGGUACUUGUUUCAGAAGGUUUGUAUUCAUAGGCCAUUUACCACCAAAAUGGGAAUAUAUGAAUUUCACUGAAUAUUGCAAAUUACUAUGCACGCAUUAAUUUGGUUUUUAUAAAAUUAGAUAUUAGGGUUUUCUUUUCAUUGAAUCAACUUCUCUGUAAUACAUAAAAGUCAGAAGUAUUUUCUUAUCAUUCCAGGAAAAGUGGUUUGAAAAGAUAUUAAUCCUAUAAAUUCAUUUUUACAAACUAAUGUACCUGAAUAAGCACAGUAUUUAUAUAAUAAUUAGUUUAAUUAUGGUCUUUUACAUAUAUAAUUGCCAAAAUGAAAGCCACUGCUACUACAUUCACUAUAAGAUGAGUAAUUAUAACGUUAAUUGGAAUUAAUAGCGUUUUUCUUUUUCUGUUUUAAAUUAAGCACUUUUCCUAGAAGACAUCAAGUUAAUACUAAAAUUACAAUCCUACAUUUUAACCAAAUUAUUUAAUUUCAAAUACAUGUAAUUUAUUAUGACAAGGAAAUGGAUUAAUAUAUUAUUUCAGAGUAGCUUAUUUUAGGUAAUUAUAUUUAUUAGCACCCCAAAUCUGCUCAAAUAGGCCUUUGUGCUUUUGACUCCACUGCACAGUGUUGUGGCUAUGGCAAUAAAAAUUCAGGUAAAAACUGAAAAGUCCCAUUGAAAAUCCCAAUGCUUUGUUUUUGUGUCAUUAAAUGUCUAGAUAUUAGCAACAGAACUAAGUAUCUGGAUGCUUGGGCACAACACAAUAACUUAUGCCAAAGUCUUGGCUUUUCUAAGAAGUGUUUGGCAUCGGCUAAAGAAAAUAAUAUUGUUUAUCCACUGAAGAAUAAAGCCAGCACUUGCAAAGACCUUUGAGAAACUUGGGGUGAUUUUAACUGCACUUGGAGAAGGUGAGCCCAGCCCCGCUCUCCGUUCCGGAGGCCGCCGCAGCUUGGCCCUGCUAUCAGGGUCGUCCUCAGUGGGGGCUGCUGGCCUUCCUAAAGCACAAUGAAAUGAAGUGAUUUCACAUCCAGUUCUUUGUCAUUAAGGGACUCUCACUUGAACCCCCAAAUCGCAGUGUAACUUUGCAUUUUGUUCUGCGCACCCCUUCCCCGUGGAGGGGGAUGACUUCUACUCAGCGCACAGACUUCUGGAAAACGGAUGCAGGUCCUGUUCUACUGCAAACAAGGAGGAGUUCACCAAGGCAAACGAUUAUUGCCUAAGUGUAAUUCACUUAAAAACCAGAAACGUAUUGUAUUUAUUUUGUGUCACUCAAAUUCUUUUGAACUCCAGCACUAACAGUUUAUCAGAUUCCUCUAUAUUGAACUGCUCUUUAAAGUGCAGGAGAGAUGGCUCAUCAAAUCGCUUUCUUCUCUCCAUCUGCUAGCUGCCUAGGAAGCUGCUGGAGGCACUCUUCAAGAGUCCUUGUACAUUACAGCUGGACCGCCAUUCUGAAGUGUCUAUCGCCAUAGGCCCUUUUCCCCGUUGGGAUCCCAAAUAAACUGUCAUCCUGAUUUUUCAUUUCCACUCUACAGUACAGUCAGUUAAUUGAAUGGGAUCGUGUGACCCCACAGCAAACAGACUGCAUCCCACGGUGUGAAGAAGAAGAGCCUCAAAACUUAUUCAGGAGCUGGGCUCAUCUUUAACUUCACAUCUUAGAAAAUGUAAAUGGUUCAUGCAACCACUGUCUAUUUUAAUAACUUUGAAAGUGCACAAAUAGAAUAAAAAUUAUAGCCAAGUAAUAAAAGGGGUCUUCUCUGUCUUUCAUUGAAUUCACAUAACUUCCAUUUAUGCUAAUAGGAGUUAAGCACCUGCUUCGCAAAGAAAAUAGACCCCUACCUGUGAAAAUAAAUGUGUACACUAUAUUUUCCAGAUACAGUGCUGAAAUCAAACAACCAAAAAUGUGUGCUAUAUAAACAAAGCAUCAUGUGGCCUACCUGGAAACAUUGCUGUUUUAUAUU